GACCUCGUCGCUCAGCUGGUAGAGCAUGCGCUGUACAAAAACUCGGCGGCAUCCACGCGUGGGUUCGAAUCCCACCGAGGCUA
Molecule: transfer RNA, 83 nt
Filed under: Echinostoma caproni
Lineage: Eukaryota; Metazoa; Platyhelminthes; Trematoda; Plagiorchiida; Echinostomatidae
Rfam family: tRNA
About the family: Transfer RNA (tRNA) molecules are approximately 80 nucleotides in length. Their secondary structure includes four short double-helical elements and three loops (D, anti-codon, and T loops).
Source: Rfam by way of RNAcentral